This 462-nucleotide ribosomal RNA is filed under the name uncultured bacterium. RNAcentral's name for it is "partial 16S ribosomal RNA". It matches the Rfam family "Bacterial small subunit ribosomal RNA", at positions 29 to 523 of the family's 1533-position model. The record is from RNAcentral.
AAUGAACGUUGGCGGCAUGGAUUAGGCAUGCAAGUCGGGGGAAUCCCAGCAAUGGGGGAACCGGCGUAAGGGGCAGUAAGGCAUGGGUACCUACCUUGGGGUUCGGGAUAGCCAUCAGAGAUGGUGGGUAAUACCGGAUGACGUCGUGAGACCAAAGAUUCAUCGCCCUUAGAGGGGCCCAUGUGAUAUUAGCUAGUUGGUGGGGUAACGGCCCACCAAGGCGAAGAUGUCUAGCGGGUGUGAGAGCACGACCCGCGCCACUCGCACUGAGACACUGGCGAGACACCUACGGGUGGCUGCAGUCGAGGAUCUUCGGCAAUGAGCGCAAGCUGGACCGAGUGAUGCCGCGUGAGCGAUGAAGGCCUUCGGGUUGUAAAGCUCUUUAGUGGGGGAGAAAAGCCGCAAGGUGUGAUCUAUCCCAAAAAUAAGCACGGGCUAAGUUCGUGCCAGCAGCCGCCGUAA